Long non-coding RNA from Microplitis mediator, 1035 nucleotides. RefSeq lists it as uncharacterized. Lineage: Eukaryota; Metazoa; Arthropoda; Insecta; Hymenoptera; Braconidae. The record is from RefSeq and is a predicted model, not a curated record. The transcript is spliced from 3 exons.
UCUGGGAGGACUUUAUAUUUUAUGUUUAGCUUAGUUUAACCUACAAAAUUGAUAUACGUGCAAAAACGGUCUGAUAAAAAAUGUCCUUCAGAAAAAAACAUUUACAGAAUUAUCUAAGAGCCAAAAAAAUGGACGUUUACAAAAAUUUUUAAAUAAUCCAACAAACUAUUCUGAUCUGUAGGAACCUCAGAUUAUUGAGCCUUAAUCAUUACCCUGAAUAAGAGAAGUGAUUUAAUCUAUGCUAAGUGAUACCAAACUUUGGAGUUAAAUUGACGGUAAUUUUAUGAUUGAAAUUAACUGAAAGUUGCUGCCUGAUUUGCCGACAAUUUGACAGCAAAGGUGGAAAGAAAAAUUUGCAGUUAAUUUUUCUCAAUUUAGAGGUAGAGGCACCUAAGGCCGCUGAGGACAUAACAUCACUGAUAUGUCCUGGGAGGUUACUAGGAUCGGAGCAGACGCCACCUCCUGGACGGUGGGCAGUUCGUUGUCACGCGGGACCAAUUUUGAAUUUGAAAACAGUGAUAAAUUUAUUGUUGACUAUGAUGAUGAUGAUUAUUAUUAUUAUUAUUUAAUGAAAUUAUGAAGUUAUGGAUAAGGAUAGAUGUAAUUGAAGAAAUAACUUUUAUCUGAAGACUGAGUUUUAUUAUAAAGUAUAGAUAAGAUUUGAUCAGUAAUAACAGUUGUGCUCGUCAAUAGUUCUCGGAGAGAAGUGAAGUUACAUCAGCCGACAGAGAGAUCUCUGACUCUCCACUCUUUGACUUCUCCCACCAUUCUCAUAUUAACACACAUACUUAUGCAAUAUAUGUACUUAUACAUAUCAACGUUCUUUUUAAUUAUAUACUUAUACAUUUAUACUUCCUACUAAUACACGUACGAGAUAUGAGUUUACACAUCUACGUUCUUUAUUUAUCUGUUCUAUGAUUUUACUUACUACUUAUAUUAUUUAUAUUCCAUUUUCCUGUACUUAAAUACAAUCUUUUAGUUAAUUAUUCUAUAUUUAAUUAUUUAAUACGAUUGACAUUAUUAUUUAUCAUGAAA